GCUCCAAUGGCGUGGUGGUUGGAGCGUCCGCCUUGGAUGCGGGAUGUUGCGGGUUCGAAUCCUGGCUGAGUCA
Molecule: non-coding RNA, 73 nt
Organism: Potamilus streckersoni
Lineage: Eukaryota; Metazoa; Mollusca; Bivalvia; Unionida; Unionidae
Source: the annotation of a GenBank genome assembly